CUUUUUGCGGUCUGGGCUUGCUGUCAAAUGACUAUCCAGGAAGCCCUUACCCCAAAAAGCAU
MicroRNA precursor from Seriola lalandi dorsalis, 62 nucleotides. The record is from Ensembl. Lineage: Eukaryota; Metazoa; Chordata; Actinopteri; Carangiformes; Carangidae.